Molecule: long non-coding RNA, 483 nt
Filed under: Podarcis muralis (Common wall lizard)
Lineage: Eukaryota; Metazoa; Chordata; Lepidosauria; Squamata; Lacertidae
Description: lncRNA (ENSPMRG00000001557.1)
Source: RNAcentral
CCCCAGAUGUUGCGGCCGGUGCGGCCGGCCCCCCCUGCACCCCCCACGCUACGCCACUGGGUUUGAGGCUUUCAUUCCAUAAAACGCCAGCUAUGCCCCAGUCCAUUUGUAGACACAGAAUCUUCCUGAUGGCUAGUGACAGAGAGGGGGCCAUAGCUGUGUUCUGCAUGCAAAGAGUCGCAUGUUAAAUCCGUGGCAACUCCAGGUAGGAAGAUGCCAGGGAUUCCUGACAGAGAGCCACUGCCCUACCAGUGUUUACAAAACUUGAGGUGGGUGACUAAGCAUCUGACAAGGUACAAGGUAACUUCUUAUGUUCCUAAUAGGCAACUAACAGAAUGAACUAUUUUCUGUGCAGACAGGGUGAACUACUCUACAGCCCAGCCCACCCACCUCACGUAAGCCGGGUUCAAUUACCCGGAUGCGGAAGUGCUUGCUCUUUUCUCUCUCGGGUGCUGCGGCCGAGAAGUUCAGCAUCUAGGUAAC